RNAcentral lists this unclassified non-coding RNA (357 nucleotides) under uncultured fungus. Its description in RNAcentral is "sequence contains 5.8S rRNA gene". The record is from RNAcentral. Lineage: Eukaryota; Fungi.
GAACGCAACUUGCACUCUCCUUUGGGAGAGUAUGCCUGUUUGAGAAUCUAUUCAAAAUAUCUCAUUUAUUUUAUUUUAUUAUAAAAUUAAUUUGGAGAAUGAGUUUUCUUGCUUUUUUUUAUUAAAAAUAUGAGCAAGUGACUUGAAAUUAAGAUUGAAGCAUCUCGUAUGACUUUUAAUCAUAGAACCGUGUUUGUAUAGAAUUAAACCUUGGUUUAAAAUCUUCCUACUCAUAGUAUAUGAUUAAUAUAAAGAAAUACUUUAUUGUUUCGCAUCCAAUGAUAUCAAAAGAAUAACUUUGGUUAUUUUUUUGAACUCUUGGUCUCAAAUCAGGCAGGAAAACCCGCUGAACUUAAG